This 253-nucleotide ribosomal RNA is filed under the name uncultured bacterium. RNAcentral describes it as "partial 16S ribosomal RNA". It matches the Rfam family "Bacterial small subunit ribosomal RNA", at positions 524 to 776 of the family's 1533-position model. The record is from RNAcentral.
CACGUAGGGGACGAGCGUUGUCCGGAUUCAUUGGGCGUAAAGCGCGCGUAGGCGGCUCGGCAAGUCGGUCGUGAAAUGCCGGGGCUCAACCCCGGGACUGCGUCCGAUACUCCCGAGCUGGAGGCAGGUAGGGGAGAUCGGAAUUCCUGGUGUAGCGGUGAAAUGCGCAGAUAUCAGCAGGAACACCGGUGGCGAAGGCGGAUCUCUGGGCCUUGCCUGACGCUGAGGCGCGAAAGCUAGGGGAGCGAACAGG